GGGGGCAUGGCGGAAUGGUAGACGCAACGGACUUAAAGUUUUGGGCAUUGAGUGUGAAGUAUUCAACUAAGUAAGUUCUCAAAUUCAGGGAAAUCUAAGUUUUUUAAGUAAACUAAUAAGUAAUAAACAUAUUAUGUUCUAAGCUUUAAAGAGAUAAGACAAUCCUGAGCCAAAUUUUACACUAAAAAGAAAACGAUUUAGAUGCAAAAAAGGUGCAGAGACUCGACGGGAACUACCUUAAGAGGUAAAGAGAGAGUCCAAUUUCUAACUCGAUUUGAACGUAUGAUACGAGUGAUGAAAAUCAAAUAGAAAUGAAAAUCCGUUGACUGUAAAGUCGUGAGGGUUCAAGUCCCUCUGCCCCCA
RNAcentral lists this transfer RNA (363 nucleotides) under Ishige okamurae. Its description in RNAcentral is "tRNA-Leu". The stretch from base 24 to 280 matches the Rfam family "Group I catalytic intron". Rfam says of the family: Group I catalytic introns are large self-splicing ribozymes. They catalyse their own excision from mRNA, tRNA and rRNA precursors in a wide range of organisms. The core secondary structure consists of 9 paired regions (P1-P9). Lineage: Eukaryota; Phaeophyceae; Ectocarpales; Ishigeaceae. The record is from RNAcentral.